RNAcentral lists this non-coding RNA (970 nucleotides) under Erophylla sezekorni. RNAcentral's name for it is "partial 12S ribosomal RNA". It matches the Rfam family "Bacterial small subunit ribosomal RNA". The record is from RNAcentral. Lineage: Eukaryota; Metazoa; Chordata; Mammalia; Chiroptera; Phyllostomidae.
AAUAGGUUUGGUCCCAGCCUUUCUAUUAGUUGUAAACAAAACUACACAUGCAAGUAUCCGCGCCCCGGUGAGAAUGCCCUAUAAAUCGCCCCCUUAGACGAUACAAAGGAGCGGGUAUCAAGCACACCACUAGGUAGCUCAUAACGCCUUGCUCAACCACACCCCCACGGGAGACAGCAGUGAUAAAAAUUAAGCAAUAAACGAAAGUUUGACUAAGUUAUGUUUAUUCAGGGUUGGUAAAUUUCGUGCCAGCCACCGCGGUCAUACGAUUAACCCCAAUUAAUAGAUGCUCGGCGUAAAGCGUGUUUAAGAUCCCCUAAAAAUAAAGUCAAACCCUAGCCACGCUGUAAAAAGCCACAGCUAUUGUAAGCCCCACUACGAAAGUGACUUUAAAAGAUCCGAAUACACGAUAGCUAAGGCCCAAACUGGGAUUAGAUACCCCACUAUGCUUAGCCCUAAACCUAGAGAGUCAACAUAACAAGAUCCUCCGCCAGAGUACUACUAGCCACAGCCUAAAACUCAAGGGACUUGGCGGUGCUUUAUAUCCUUCUAGAGGAGCCUGUUCUGUAAUCGAUAAACCCCGAUAAACCUCACCAACCCUUGCCAACUCAGCCUAUAUACCGCCAUCUUCAGCAAACCCUGAAAAGGAAUAAUAGUAAGCUCAAUUACAACAUGUAAAAACGUUAGGUCAAGGUGUAGCCUAUGGGUUGGAAAGAAAUGGGCUACAUUUCCUACCAAUAGGACAUAAUCCCUUUAAACGAAGGUCCUUGUGAAAUCAAGAACUAAAGGUGGAUUUAGCAGUAAACUAAGAAUAGAGUGCUUAGUUGAAUAAGGCCAUGAAGCACGCACACACCGCCCGUCACCCUCCUCAAGCCCUAACGGUGAACCCAACCAUAUUAUACACACCACAACUGCCAGAGGAGAUAAGUCGUAACAAGGUAAGCGUACUGGAAAGUGCGCUUGGACAAUU